Molecule: small nuclear RNA, 106 nt
Organism: Heterocephalus glaber (naked mole-rat)
Lineage: Eukaryota; Metazoa; Chordata; Mammalia; Rodentia; Bathyergidae
Gene: U2
Rfam family: U2 spliceosomal RNA
About the family: U2 is a small nuclear RNA (snRNA) component of the spliceosome (involved in pre-mRNA splicing). Complementary binding between U2 snRNA (in an area lying towards the 5' end but 3' to hairpin I) and the branchpoint sequence (BPS) of the intron results the bulging out of an unpaired adenosine, on the BPS, which initiates a nucleophilic attack at the intronic 5' splice site, thus starting the first of two transesterification reactions that mediate splicing.
Source: Ensembl
AUCACUUCUCAGCCUUUUGGCUAAGAUCAAGUGUAGUAUCUGUUCUUAUCAGAAAGGUUAUAGAUGAUGUCUAAAUACCUUUGUUCUUUUCUUUAAUUUAUUCUCU